RNAcentral lists this ribosomal RNA (377 nucleotides) under uncultured eukaryote. Its description in RNAcentral is "SSU rRNA". It matches the Rfam family "Eukaryotic small subunit ribosomal RNA", at positions 587 to 972 of the family's 1831-position model. The record is from RNAcentral.
AGCUCUGUAAGCGUAUACCAAAGUUGUUGCAGUUAAAACGCUCGUAGUCGGACGUUGGCGGGCGUUGCGGGUCGGCUUCACGGUUGAUUUUGCAGCGGCCGCCUUUGUGGAGGGGGGCUUUCGGGGUACUUCAUUGAAUCUCACUGUCGCCGCCACCGUUUACUGUGAAAAAAUUAGAGUGUUCAAAGCGGGCGUUUGCCAUGAAUACAUUAGCAUGGAAUAAUAGAAUAGGACCUGGUCCUGUUUUGUUGGUUUGUGAGUAUCAGGUAAUGAUUAAGAGGGACGGUUGGGGGCAUUUGUAUUGCGGCGUUAGAGGUGAAAUUCUUGGGUCGCCGCAAGACAAACAGCUGCGAAAGCGUCUGCCAAGGACGUUUUCA